Molecule: ribosomal RNA, 120 nt
Filed under: Branchiostoma floridae (Florida lancelet)
Lineage: Eukaryota; Metazoa; Chordata; Leptocardii; Amphioxiformes; Branchiostomatidae
Source: RNAcentral
AACUACGGCCAUGUGACGCAUUGGAUAAACCCGAUUCCUCGAUCUCUGAAGUUAAGCAAAGCGUAGUCCAGUCAGUUCUUGGAUUGGUGACCAACCAAGGAAGACCGGAUGCUGUAGCCA